RNAcentral lists this ribosomal RNA (117 nucleotides) under Caldisericales bacterium. Lineage: Bacteria; Pseudomonadati; Caldisericota; Caldisericia; Caldisericales. The record is from RNAcentral.
CUUGGUGAUAAUGCCGCAGGGGAAACACCCGUUCCCAUUCCGAACACGGAAGUUAAGACCUGCAGGGCUGAUGGUACUCGAGGCGCAGGCCUCCGGAAGAGUAAGACGUUGCCAAGG